Molecule: long non-coding RNA, 324 nt
Organism: Rhipicephalus microplus (southern cattle tick)
Lineage: Eukaryota; Metazoa; Arthropoda; Arachnida; Ixodida; Ixodidae
Source: RefSeq, a predicted model, not a curated record
CCCUCUCAGAGGUGCAUCUUCCUUCCUAAUCCUUCCCCGAGCGGUGUAGUGCUCCAUCGGUCCACCGGUGCAACCGCAACUCAGCAACAGCGUGGGCUUAAACACAGCGCACACUCGACGGCUGCUCGGUUCCUCCGAGCAGCAACGCAUCGCGAAAGAGACAGUGUUCAGUGGUGAGACGUUUGAGAGACUUCGGCGGCCCGCAAGUACCAGGAGCUCGGGAUACAGGAUGAGGUCCUUGCUAGUCCUCCUCGUAAUCGAAGCUGUGUUCCUCACCGGCAGCAAUGCAAGGGUGAGUGGGUAUUCCCUGCAAGUCUCACUGUA